ACUGUUUUGAUAAGCUAAAGUAGAUCGACCAUAACUCUUUGCUCCGAUAUUGAAUUUGGGUGAAAUUGGUAUCGUUGGAAAUAUAAUUCAAAGGGAUUUUAUUUCAUAUAAAGUAAGCCACCCAGUUCGUCCUGUACAAGGAGUUAUGGUCGUUUGAAGUUGACCCUAAAAAAUUGUUUUGAGAGGUUGAAGUAAAACGAGUAUAACUCCUUACUCAGACCUUGGAUUUGGAUGAAACUAAUUGCAUUGGAAAGAAGACUCAAAGAUCUUUCUUUUCAUAGGUCGCAGCUCUCCUAGUUCAUUAUAUUAAGUGUGUUAUGAUCAUUCAAAGUUGACCCAAAAAAUUGGCUGGCCUUAGUAGUUUGUGUGCAGGAAAUUUUCCUGCACAUUUACUAUUCCCAAUAUCCCGGCCACCGUUUUAUAGUUUCGAACGUGCUCGAUUAUAUCCGAAAACUAUCCGUUUUUGGGAAUAUUUAUAUCGUUGGAAAGCUUAUUCAAUAACCUUCGCAUGGAACCAUCGACGGGCAAAUUCCGGUAUAAAUAAAAUAAAAAAAUUAAUUCCAUAUAAAUAAAACCAAUACACGUACUUGAAUACGCCAAUGUAUGUACUUGAAUACGGGGUGUUACAUCCUUCCCCCCCUUAGUACAUUCAUCCUCGAAUAUUAGUGUAGUUAUUCAACCGAAACAAGUUCAAGUC
Molecule: long non-coding RNA, 697 nt
Filed under: Capsicum annuum
Lineage: Eukaryota; Viridiplantae; Streptophyta; Magnoliopsida; Solanales; Solanaceae
Description: long non-coding RNA (CANN_LNC021147)
Source: RNAcentral